GGGGUUUCGCCGCCCUGCGGAACGCCGGGAAGGGGUCACUGCCAGAGGAAGGUUCCGGUUCCGGUUCAAGUAGUGGUUGAGUUGCUACGGCAACGCGGCUGGCGGGUUCCUCCGUGGCAGGCGGUAACUGGGCUGGAGGAGGCCUAGUGCACCUUUCCCAGCCUUGGUGAGCGGCUCCGGUGCCUCCCUAAGGCCGCGACCGAAUGCGGCCGUUCUUGGCGGAAGCCGGGCCGGGCACUGGCGGACAGGCCUGCCCGGGGUUGCGUCAUCGGGCCUGGCCACACGUCCCAGCUCUCCUGGCCCCGCCGCCCACGUGGGGGGGCAGGUCCAGACCCGGCCCGCUGGCUCCGGCCUCUGGCUCUCGUUUAUUUCUCUAAAGAAAAAAAAGAAAACCCUUUUAUUUUAGAAGUUUGUAAAGCGCUCUCGUCUGAUGACCCCACCGGGGUUUGGGGUUCGCUGACCUUCCUCCCCGUUGAAUGGGCAACGGAGACGGGAACUGGCUCGUUGGACUAACGUUUUGUGAGCAGGUAAAUCAGAGGCACUGGCACCAGGAACGGAAAUACACAGGAAACGGCCGAUGCAGAAGCAGAACCGAAGUCCAGCAUGUGGUGCAUUUAACAGUAGAGAAUAUAUUGUUUCCCAAACCACCUAACUUUCACUCAUGCUUGUAUUAUAGUAAGAUGUGUAGGGUUUUUAAAAUAAAUAUUGGCGAUUUGCUCCUGAAAA
This is a long non-coding RNA of Myotis myotis, 726 nucleotides long. RefSeq lists it as uncharacterized. The record is from RefSeq and is a predicted model, not a curated record. The transcript has 2 exons. Lineage: Eukaryota; Metazoa; Chordata; Mammalia; Chiroptera; Vespertilionidae.